ACUCUAAGCGGUGGAUCACUCGGCUCAUGGGUCGAUGAAGAACGCAGCAAACUGUGCGUCAUCGUGUGAACUGCAGGACACAUGAACAUCGACAUUUGAACGCAUAUCGCAGUCCAUGCUGUUAUGUACUUUAAUUAAUUUUAAAGUGCUGCUUGGACUACAUAUGGUUGAGGGUUGUAAGACUAUGCAAAAUAAGUUGUUCAUAAAUUUCAUUUCAUGAUUUUUAUAAGCACAUGGUAUAUUAUUGGGUAUAAUAAUUAUUAAUUGUUAUAUUCAUAAUAUUAAAAAUUAUAUGAAAAACAUUAUUCUCACAUUGUUGUAAAUAUUUGAAUGUGAAAACGAAGAGAAAUAUUUUCUUUUUUUUAAAUCAAAUAAUACUGAGAAAUGUCUAGCAUAAAAAAUGUGAAAAUAUUUUCAUCUAGAAUUGUCUCUUAUUAAUGAUGCAAAAAAUCGAAAAAUGUUGCUAAUGUUAUUAUUCUUCGUUUGGUUUGUUAAAAAAUAUAACAAAUUUAAAUAUAUAAUGUUUCUCUAUAUAAAAAGAAUUAAUGCUAAUAAAUGUUUAUACAACCUCAACUCAUAUGGGACUACCCCCUGAAUUUAAGCAUAUUAAUUAGGGGAGGAAAAGAAACUAACAAGGAUUUUCUUAGUAGCGGCGAGCGAAAAGAAAUCAGUUCAGCACUAAGUCACUUUGUCUAUAUGGCAAAUGUGAGAUGCAGUGUAUGGAGCGUCAAUAUUCUAGUAUGAGAAAUUAACGAUUUAAGUCCUCUUAAAUGAGGCCAUUUACCCAUAGAGGGUGCCAGGCCCGUAUAACGUUAAUGAUUACUAGAUGAUGUUUCCAAAGAGUCGUGUUGCUUGAUAGUGCAGCACUAAGUGGGUGGUAAACUCCAUCUAAAACUAAAUAUAACCAUGAGACCGAUAGUAAACAAGUACCGUGAGGGAAAGUUGAAAAGAACUCUGAAUAGAGAGUUAAACAGUACGUGAAACUGCUUAGAGGUUAAGCCCGAUGAACCUGAAUAUCCGUUAUGGAAAAUUCAUCAUUAGACUUGUAGUAUUUAAACAAUAUUAUGAUAAUAGUGUGCAUUUUUUCCAUAUAAGGACAUUGUAAUCUAUUAACAUAACUAAAUUUAUCAUAAAAUAUGGCUUAUAGUUAUUCAAAUUAUUAUGCUUGCAUUUAACAUAGAAUAAAUGUCAUUAAUUUGAUAAAGUGCUGAUAGAUUUAUAUGACUACAGUGCGUUAAUUUUUCGGAAUUAUAUAAUGGCAUAAUUAUCAUUGAUUUUUGUGUUAUUAUAUGCACUUGUACGAUUAACAAUGCGAAAGAUUCAGGAUACCUUCGGGACCCGUCUUGAAACACGGACCAAGGAGCUAACAUAUGUGCAAGUUAUUGGGAUAUAAACCUAAUAGCGUAAUUAACUUGACUAAUAAUGGGAUUAGUUUUUAACUAUUUAUAGCUAAUUAACACAAUCCCGGGGCGUUCUAUAUAGUUAUGUAUAAUAAUAUUUAUAUUAUUAUGCCUCUAACUGGAACGUACCUUGAGCAGAUAUGCUGUGACCCGAAAGAUGGUGAACUAUACUUGAUCAGGUUGAAGUCAGGGGAAACCCUGAUGGAAGACCGAAACAGUUCUGACGUGCAAAUCGAUGUCAGAAUGAGUAUAGGGCGAAAAGACCAAUCGAACCAUUGUACAGGAUCUUGGUGGUGAUUAGCAAAUAAUCGAAGAACCUUGAGGAAUGAAGUGGAGAAGGUUCGUGUAACAGUGGUUGAUCACGAGUUAGUCCGCGUCCUAAGUUCAAGGCGAAAGCCGAAAAUUUUCAAGUAAUAAAAUGACUAUUAUAUUACAAAAAUGCAAUUAAUAUACUGAAUAAUUUGAACGAAAGGGAAUACGGUUCCAAUUCCGUAACCUGUUGAGUAUCCGUUGUAUUAAAUAUGGGCCUCGUGCUCAUCCUGGCAACAGGAACGACCAUAAAAGAAAGAAGCCCGUCGAGGAAGAUAUCGGAAGAGUUUUUCUUUUCUGUUUUAUAGCCGUACUACCAUGGAAGUCUUUCGCAGAGAGAUAUGGUAGAUGGGCUAGAAGAGCAUGACAAUACUGUUGUGUCGAUAUUUUCUCCUCGGACCUUGAAAAUUUAUGGUGGGAUACGCAAACUUCUCAACAGGCCGUACAAUAUCCGCAGCUGGUCCCAAGGUGAAGAGUCUCUAGUCGAUAGAAUAAUGUAGGAAGGAAGUCGGCAAAUUAGAUCCGUAACUUCGGGAUAAGGAUGGCUCUGAAGAUUGAGAUAGUCGGGCUUGAUUGGGAAACAAUAACAUGGUUAUGUGCUCGUUCUGGGUAAAUAGAGUUUCUAUCAUUUAUGUUAGUUGCUUGUUCCCGGAUAGUUUAGUUACGUAGCCAAUUGUGGAACUUCUUGCUAAAAUUUUUAAGAAUACUAGUUGGUCAAACCAAUUAGUUCUUAUUAAUUAUAACGAUAUCAAUUAACAAUCAAUUCAGAACUGGCACGGACUUGGGAAUCCGACUGUCUAAUUAAAACAAAGCAUGUGAUGGCCCUAGCGGGUGUUGACACAAUGUGAUUUCUGCCCAGUGCCUGAAUGUCAAAGUGAAGAAAUCAAGUAAGCGCGGGUCAACGGCGGAGUAACAUGACUCUCUUAAGGUAGCCAAAUGCCUCGUCAUCUAAUAGUGACGCGCAUGAAGGAUAACGAGAUUCCUACUGUCCCUAUCUAUUUUCUAGCUGAAUACGCACGUUCUUUCUAAGGCGCUUAUGCGGCGGGGCCCUAUCCGGUGGACAAAGGGACCACGAGCGAAUGGAACGGGUUAGAGAGGCAGAGGGCCUGGGGAGGGGGUGGAUAACGGAGAUCCUUGGGUCGGUGGAGUGCUCUAACCUGGCCUUGAAAAAGAAAUAAAAAAUACGCGGCCCCCAAUACAUUAAUAUUAGUUUAAAAAAAAAAAAAAAAAAAAAAAAAAAAAAUCAAUAACACGAAAACCACAGCCAAGGAAAAAAGCAAAGAAACCUUGAGCUGACUCUAAUCUGGCAGUGUAAGGAGACAUAAGAGGUGUAAAUAGGGAGAUAUUAGACUUCGGUUGGUAUCGACAAUGAAUACCACUACUCUAUUGUCCUUACUACUGAUUAAAUGGAACGUGUCAUUCCUAGCCAUAUACGGAUAUUUAUAUAUCUUAGUAUGGGUUUUGAUGCAAGCUUCUGAUCAAAGUAUCACGAGUUGUUAUAUAAUCGCAAACAAAUUUUAAUGAGACGAUGCAUUAUAUUUGAUUUGAAAAUUGGUAUAACCCAAUUACUCAGGUAUAUCCAAUUCAAGGACAUUGCCAGGUAGGGAUUUGACUGGGGCGGUACAUCUCUCAAAUAAUAACGGAGGUGUCCCAAGGCCAGCUCAGUGCGGACAGAAACCACACAUAGAGCAAAAGGGCAAAUGCUGACUGAUCUCGGUGUUCAGUACACACAGGGACAGCAAAAGCUCGGCCUAUCGAUCCUUUGGUUAAAGAGUUUUAACAAGAGGUGUCAGAAAAGUUACCAUAGGGAUAACUGGCUUGUGGCGGCCAAGCGUUCAUAGCGACGUCGCUUUUGAUCCUUCGAUGUCGGCUCUUCCUAUCAUUGUGAAGCAAAAUUCACCAAGCGUUGGAUUGUUCACCCAUGCAAGGGAACGUGAGCUGGGUUUAGACCGUCGUGAGACAGGUUAGUUUUACCCUACUAAUGACAAAACGUUGUUGCGACAGCAUUCCUGCGUAGUACGAGAGGAACCGCAGGUACGGACCAAUGGCACAAUACUGUUCGAGCGAACAGUGGUAUGACGCUACGUCCGUUGGAUUAUGCCUGAACGCCUCUAAGGUCGUAUCCGUGCUGGACUGCAAUGAUAAAUAAGGGGCAAUUUGCAUUGUAUGGCUUCUAAACCAUUUAAAGUUUGU
Molecule: ribosomal RNA, 3902 nt
Filed under: Drosophila serrata
Lineage: Eukaryota; Metazoa; Arthropoda; Insecta; Diptera; Drosophilidae
Description: eukaryotic LSU rRNA
Rfam family: Eukaryotic large subunit ribosomal RNA (bases 565-3902)
Source: RNAcentral